This 558-nucleotide ribosomal RNA is filed under the name uncultured bacterium. Its description in RNAcentral is "bacterial SSU rRNA". It matches the Rfam family "Bacterial small subunit ribosomal RNA", at positions 102 to 674 of the family's 1533-position model. The record is from RNAcentral.
AAGGGAGAGUAACGGGUGGUUACUUACCCUCAGGACCGGAAUAGUGUCGGGAAACUGACAGUAAUGCCGGAUAAUAUCUUUGGAUCAAAGGUGUGAUUCCGCCUGGGGAUAGGACCGCUUUCUAUUAGCUUGUUGGCGGGGUAAUGGCCCACCAAGGCUGAGAUGGAUACCGGGUGUGAGAGCAUGGCCCGGCUCACUGGGACUGAGACACUGCCCAGACACCUACGGGUGGCUGCAGUCGAGAAUCUUCGGCAAUGGGCGAAAGCCUGACCGAGCGACGCCGCGUGCGGGAUGAAGGCCUUCGGGUUGUAAACCGCUGUCAGUUGGGAGGAAGGUGCUGUGAAGAGCAGCAUUUGACCGAUCUUCAGAGGAAGGACGGGCUAAGUUCGUGCCAGCAGCCGCGGUAAGACGAACCGUCCGAACGUUAUUCGGUAUCACUGGGCUUAAAGAGUUCGUAGGCGGCCUAGCAGGUGAGGUGUGAAAUCCAACGGCUCAACCGUUGAAUUGCGCUUCAAACCACUAGGCUCGAGGAUGGCAGGGGUGUUGGGAACAGAUGGU